This 576-nucleotide ribosomal RNA is filed under the name Methanosarcina sp. enrichment culture clone E01. RNAcentral describes it as "bacterial SSU rRNA". It matches the Rfam family "Archaeal small subunit ribosomal RNA", at positions 113 to 687 of the family's 1478-position model. The record is from RNAcentral. Lineage: Archaea; Methanobacteriati; Methanobacteriota; Methanomicrobia; Methanosarcinales; Methanosarcinaceae.
CCUUGGGUCCGGCAUAACCCCGGGAAACUGGGGAUAAUUCCGGAUAACGCACAUUUGCUGGAAUGCUUUAUGCGUCAAAUGGAUUCGUCUGCCCAAGGAUGGGUCUGCGGCCUAUCAGGUAGUAGUGGGUGUAAUGUACCUACUAGCCGACGACGGGUACGGGUUGUGAGAGCAAGAGCCCGGAGAUGGAUUCUGAGACAUGAAUCCAGGCCCUACGGGGCGCAGCAGGCGCGAAAACUUUACAAUGCGGGAAACCGUGAUAAGGGGACACCGAGUGCCAGCAUCAUAUGCUGGCUGUCCGGGUGUGUAAAAUACACCUGUUAGCAAGGGCCGGGCAAGACCGGUGCCAGCCGCCGCGGUAAUACCGGCGGCCCGAGUGGUGAUCGUGAUUAUUGGGUCUAAAGGGUCCGUAGCCGGUUUGGUCAGUCCUCCGGGAAAUCUGACGGCUUAACCGUUAGGCUUUCGGAGGAUACUGCCAGGCUUGGAACCGGGAGAGGUAAGAGGUACUACAGGGGUAGGAGUGAAAUCUUGUAAUCCCUGUGGGACCACCUGUGGCGAAGGCGUCUUACCAGAACG